GGGGAAUAUUGCACAAUGGGCGAAAGCCUGAUGCAGCGACGCCGCGUGAGCGAAGAAGUAUUUCGGUAUGUAAAGCUCUAUCAGCAGGGAAGAAAAUGACGGUACCUGACUAAGAAGCCCCGGCUAACUACGUGCCAGCAGCCGCGGUAAUACGUAGGGGGCAAGCGUUAUCCGGAUUUACUGGGUGUAAAGGGAGCGUAGGCGGCAAGGCAAGUCUGAUGUGAAAACCCGGGGCUCAACCCCGGGACUGCAUUGGAAACUGCUUAGCUAGAGUGUCGGAGAGGUAAGUGGAAUUCCUAGUGUAGCGGUGAAAUGCGUAGAUAUUAGGAGGAACACCAGUGGCGAAGGCGACUUACUGGACGAUAACUGACGCUGAGGCUCGAAAGCGUGGGGAGCAAAC
Molecule: ribosomal RNA, 400 nt
Filed under: uncultured bacterium
Lineage: Bacteria
Description: bacterial SSU rRNA
Rfam family: Bacterial small subunit ribosomal RNA
Source: RNAcentral